RNAcentral lists this ribosomal RNA (460 nucleotides) under uncultured bacterium. Its description in RNAcentral is "partial 16S ribosomal RNA". It matches the Rfam family "Bacterial small subunit ribosomal RNA", at positions 338 to 795 of the family's 1533-position model. The record is from RNAcentral.
CCUACGGGAGGCAGCAGUGAGGAAUAUUGGUCAAUGGACGAGAGUCUGAACCAGCCAAGUAGCGUGAAGGAUGACUGCCCUAUGGAUUGUAAACUUCUUUUAUCUGGGAAUAAAAUGUUCCACGUGUGGGAUUUUGUAUGUACCAUAUGAAUAAUGAUCGGCUAACUCCGUGCCAGCAGCCGCGGUAAUACGGAGGAUCCGAGCGUUAUCCGGAUUUAUUGGGUUUAAAGGGAGCAUAGGUGGAUUGUUAAGUCAGUUGUGAAAGUUUGCGGCUCAACCGUAAAAUUGCAGUUGAAACUGGCAGUCUUGAGUACAGUAGAGGUGGGCGGAAUGCGUGGUGUAGCGGUGAAAUGCUUAGAUAUCACGAAGAACUCCGAUUGCGAAGGCAGUUCACUGGACUGCAACUGACACUGAGGCUCGAAAGUGUGGGUAUCAAACAGGAUUAGAUACCCGUGUAGUC